RNAcentral lists this RNase P RNA (272 nucleotides) under Mycoplasma sp. 1578d. Its description in RNAcentral is "RNase P RNA component class B". It matches the Rfam family "Bacterial RNase P class B". From Rfam's summary of the family: Ribonuclease P (RNase P) is a ubiquitous endoribonuclease, found in archaea, bacteria and eukarya as well as chloroplasts and mitochondria. Lineage: Bacteria; Bacillati; Mycoplasmatota; Mollicutes; Mycoplasmatales; Mycoplasmataceae. RNAcentral also lists the same sequence under 2 other names. The record is from RNAcentral.
AACAUCGGCCAGCAGCUGCAUUUAUGUAGAGGAAAGUCCGUGCUAACACCACCUGCAAUGGUGGUAGUGUUCAUGUUAGGUCUAAUAAACCUAAGCCCAGACGACUAGUGCCACAGAGACGAGCAAAGUGAAACGCGGUAAACUCCAUGAGUUAGAAACCCAAAUUACGGUAGGGGAAUUUUGACUAGGAAUUCAAACAAAGUCAAAAAAUGUAUAUACAUUAGAUAAAUUGCUGGCACUGCUUGUAGCAGUACAGAACACGGCUUAUAGAU